This 464-nucleotide ribosomal RNA is filed under the name uncultured bacterium. Its description in RNAcentral is "bacterial SSU rRNA". It matches the Rfam family "Bacterial small subunit ribosomal RNA", at positions 30 to 504 of the family's 1533-position model. The record is from RNAcentral.
UGAACGUUGGCGGCGUGCUUAAUACAUGCAAGUCGAACGAGGAACCAUGUACUCGUAUAUGGAUUUCCUAGUGGCGAACGGGUGAGUAACGCGUUGGUGACCUGCCCCGAAGAGGGGGAUAACAAUUCGAAAGAAUUGCUAAUACCCCAUAAUAUCAAUAGGAUUAGAGGCCUUAUGAUUAAAGGAGUAAUCCGCUUCGGGAGGGGCCUGCGUCCCAUCAGCUAGUUGGUAGGGUAAUGGCCUACCAAGGCGACGACGGGUAGGGGGCCUGAGAGGGUGGCCCCCCACAAUGGUACUGAAACACGGACCAUACAUCUACGGAUGGCAGCAGUAGGGAAUAUUGCCCAAUGGACGAAAGUCUGAGGCAGCAACGCCGCGUGUGCGAUGAAGGCCUUCGGGUUGUAAAGCACUUUUACGUGGGAAGAGAAAGGACGGUACCACGUGAAUAAGGAUCGGCCAACUAC